RNAcentral lists this transfer RNA (73 nucleotides) under Streptomyces hygroscopicus subsp. jinggangensis TL01. RNAcentral's name for it is "tRNA-Gly". Lineage: Bacteria; Bacillati; Actinomycetota; Actinomycetes; Kitasatosporales; Streptomycetaceae. The record is from RNAcentral.
UGUCACCCGCUCUGCACCGCCGACACGACCACGCUGGUGGAUCAGGUAGGCUGGUGCUCGCACCGAUCGGUGG